UACGAGAGCCUCGAGCGUUAUCCGGAAUUAUUGGGCGUAAAGGGUGCGUAGGUUGUUCUGUUAGUCUUUCGUUAAAAACCGGGGCUUAACUUCGGAGGUGCGGAAGAAACGGCAGAACUUGAAAGUGCGAGAGGCGUACGGAACUCAUGGUGUAGGGGUGAAAUCCGUUGAUAUCAUGGGGAACACCAAAUGCGAAGGCAGUACGCUGGCGCAUAUUUGACACUGAAGCACGAAAGCGUGGGUAGCGAAUGGG
RNAcentral lists this ribosomal RNA (253 nucleotides) under uncultured bacterium. Its description in RNAcentral is "partial 16S ribosomal RNA". It matches the Rfam family "Bacterial small subunit ribosomal RNA", at positions 524 to 776 of the family's 1533-position model. The record is from RNAcentral.